Sardina pilchardus (European sardine) is the source of this 3555-nucleotide long non-coding RNA. RefSeq lists it as uncharacterized. Lineage: Eukaryota; Metazoa; Chordata; Actinopteri; Clupeiformes; Clupeidae. The record is from RefSeq and is a predicted model, not a curated record. The transcript has 4 exons.
UUGUGUUAUGUUGGCCAUUCAUCUACAAAUGUGUCAGAAAAUGCAAGUUUGUAAGGGUAAAGCCAGUGCCGCAAGUUUUGGGCAAGGCCCAUCUAGAGUGAAACUUUGAAUUUAGUCAGACCUGUAUAGAAGAAUAGCAAUGAUGACUAUUAUGGUAGCCUACACUCAUAUCGAGAUCAAUGCAUGACGGAAAUAACUUUGUUUGGACUAACUGGAUAAUUAACCUGACCAGAAAGGGGGGUCCAGGUCCAUGUCCACCAGCGGGGACAGAUGACUCAUAUUUAGAGAGCGACCAUGUCAUUGCGAUACAGAAAGGAAAAGGACAAACUCCUCAUGGGAAAAUGGAAUUACAGUGCAGUCCUACACCUCCUGACAUUCCUGUCUUUUAGGCCACAAAUUCCCAGACAACCAUUUUGCAUGUAAAGACUUAUGCCAUGAACUGAUGCCUCAAUGUUGUGAGGUAGGCGAUGUGUGACAUUGGCGUCGAGUUCAACAUAGGCUUCACACAACAUAUCAUCAGGAUCACCGAUAAUCAUCAGGACUGGAAACUGCACGGUCAUCUUGUGGCUUCAACAUCAGCAUGAACUAGCCUGGCAAAUGGGAGACAACAAGUCAGCUAAAUUAAAGAACAAAUGGAAGACACAGCAUCCAAAUGAUUUUCCUUCAAGAAGGCCCACACUUUUGGUUCAGUUUUUCAUGACUUUACCCACAUCUCUAAAUGCACAGGUCCAGUUCAGCAUUUCUUCAAACAUCCAGCAAACAUGAAAGCGCAUCCUUUUUGUCAUCUAGGGAUAUACGCCCCCUAACCCGCUGACGUGUGGCAUAGGUCCAUCUGUUCAAACAUGCUUUUUGUGAUUAGGCAUCUGUGAACCACAAUGCAUAACAGAGACGCUAGAUUUUCUGAUGACAUGCCUCGAAACUGAUUUCUACCAAGUGUGUCUAUAUAACCAAGCUUUUCAUAUAUAAUAUAUAUUGCCCGCUUUGAGACUGACAUUUUGCAGGAUCUCUGUUCGUGCAAGAUUGCUGCCCAUUUCAGAUCAUUGAAAGGGAGGUGUGCAAAGUCUUUAGGAGGCUGCAUACACAUUCCGCUCCAGGACCUGACAACAUUCCAGGUCAUGUUCUCAAGGCUCCUGUACCUGGCUGAGGUCUUUAUGGACAUAUUUAAUCUUUCCCUUCUUAAGUCUGUUAUCCUCGCAUGUUUCAACAGGUGCACCAAUCCAGUCCCCGUGUUGCUUUCACCUCUGUUGUUCUAAAGUGCUUUGGGCGGUUAGUUAAAGAUUACAUUACAUCCUCCCUGUCUUCUACAUUACACCAGCUCCAGUUUGCCUAUAGGCCAAACAGGCAAUGCAUUUGCAUUUGCUUGGAACACUGCUCUCUCUCACCUGGAUAAGACAAAAAUAAAUAUGUACGGAGAUGCUCUUUAUCGGCUACAGCUCCGCUUCCAGGCUCAUCACGAAACUGUUCAAGAAGAGUAGCUGUGAGCACAUCCCACCUUGCAGGUGCAGGACAAAUGGAGAGUGUACUGUAUAGCUUCAAAAAGGAAUAUAGUGUUGCCUGCCUGUUAUAUAGUGAAUAUAGUGUUGCCUGAUGUUGCUUGUUUUUAAACAUUAAACAGGAGCAAAUAUCAGUGUUGCGGACAUUAACUUCCUUUAUCGCGAAACUGAACAUCAGUUUCUCCCUGUGCAGUUGGAUCCUUGACUUUGUGACUGAGAGGACACAUGCGUACGGCACGGCUGGGUCAUCAUCUCCUCCACUCUAACACUCAGCCCUGGUGCCCCGCAGGGAUGUGUGCUGAGCACCCAGUUGUAGGCUACUCGAUGUGCACAGUCAUGACUCUGUGGCAACUUGCACCUCAAACACCAUCAUUUGGCUUGCUGAUGACACCGCCAUAAUCAACUGUGUGAUGACGUGUCUGCUUACAAAGCAAUGGUGGCAACACGUCAGCAAAACUAAGGAGCUGAUCAUGGACGUACAGGAGACUGCAGGAAAAGGAACAUACACCCAUCUGGGGCACAGCAGUGGGAGGGACAGCUGGUGCAACACGUCAUCAUGCCUGAAGUCCUACAUCAGGAGCUCACUCAGCGAUCAGUGCCGGCCUGUCUGUGGAUCAUCAGCUUUCUGACUGACAGGCUGCAGCAGCAUGUCAGACUGGAGAGUAUCUCAUCUAUCCCCCGGUCCAUCGGUACAGACCCACAGGGGGGUGUCCUUUCCUGCUGCUCUUCUCCCCCCUCCUCCUCAACAUUUGACAAUUCAUGUAUAGCGUUCUAGAGACAUCAAAUAGCGUAAUAGUCACCAAAUCGAUAGCCAAGGAGCCAGAAGUGAACACACAUGGACAGCUAUAUAAACAAACUGUGCUUUCAUUAUACAACUAAACACGACACUUUUAGACCAUAACCCUUGAGCCAUAAUCCCUAUGUGAUCUCAAUGGUGAUGCAGCGUUUGUCUCAAACAGCAUGGCGCAAGCCUACCUGGUUACCUCCCAAAAAGGCCCUCAUGCGUCCACAAAUACUCGUUUGUUUGAGUUAAAGAAUACAGUAGAUUUACAAAAAUAGUUAACGUCCUAAAGCCUACCUUACACUGACAAGAUUUGGGAAAGAUUCUUGGAAGACUGUAGUCUUUUUACUAAUGCCCCUCAUUCAAGCUUUACUAAAAAAGACUACAAUCGUUUAAGAAUCUUUCCCAAAUCUUGUCAGUUUAAGGUAGGCUUAAGUUAACACUGACUUCAAAAAUGUCUAAUCAAAAUUGUGGAUGGCUCCAUUAAUUCCAAGCAUCUAUUCAAUUCAAAAUAAGCCAAGCCAUUCCGCAUUUUUUCGAAGAUAGUUACCAAAAUGUACAGUAGACUGUAAUCACCCUCUCAAGCACGCUCCUCAGUUUUCCUUGUCUCUGUCGCUCUCACUUCUCUAAUUGGCGAUGUGUGGCAGGCGUCGAGUUCAACCUACGCUUCACACAACAGCAGGAUCACCGAUCACCAAUCACCAAGAUUGGACACUGAAUGAUCAAUUGGUGGCUUCAACAUCAGCAUGAGCCUGGCAAAUGGCAGACAACAAAUAGGCUUAAUUCAAGAACAAAUGGAAGACACGACAUCCAAAUCAUUUUCCUUCUAGAAGGCUACACUUUUGGUUUACACUGUUUUUCAAAAUUGGUAAAACUAUAAACACAAAUCUCUAACUACAUUCCCAAAACUGAAUGAUCGUCUAAAAAUUGUACCUGUGCUCACGAUGCAGUCAAAAUGAAAACACUAGGGCCAGGAAAAAUGUUCAUUACAGUUUUUCUUGUUUGCUAUGAUGCAGCAGUCAACUCAAACUCCAAAUUUUUCAAAACAGUUAACACACAGGCCGAAACAGCAGCACUCAUGGUCAAAAUGACACAUCUUGUUUACAAAACAUUUAAAAUAUGCAGCAAAGGCACAUUUUGCCUUCAAACACAACUUGCAAACACGUGUAUGAGCUCUCCAUCUCUUUCUUCAGCAUCUCCUCACGGUGAUAUCAAUAAGCACAUAUCAAUAAACAUAUUGCUAUUGUUAUUAAGUAUUUUAAAAUAAAAAACAAUGUACAU